RNAcentral lists this transfer RNA (75 nucleotides) under Nitrosomonas stercoris. Its description in RNAcentral is "tRNA-Val". It matches the Rfam family "tRNA". From Rfam's summary of the family: Transfer RNA (tRNA) molecules are approximately 80 nucleotides in length. The record is from RNAcentral. Lineage: Bacteria; Pseudomonadati; Pseudomonadota; Betaproteobacteria; Nitrosomonadales; Nitrosomonadaceae.
AGGCGGUUAACUCAGUGGUAGAGUGCCACCUUCACACGGUGGAAGUCAUUGGUUCAAUUCCAGUACCGCCUACCA